AGUUGGUUAUUGCAAAUAUUUUGCAAACACGUAAACAUCGUGUCGUUUUUGUGACGCCAACAACAUCCUAUGAAGUUCAUUUAAGUAGAGAACAAGCCUUGCAAGGUCUUGAAAUUGAGGAACCAAUUGUUGCUGAUGUGGUGCAAAAACACGGCGAAUUUAUAAAUUCUUGUAUGUCUCGCCAAUGACCAAUGUCAAUGCGACAGCAGCGACAACAACAACGUCAUCAUAUACAGGCUGAUUGUCGCGUGACAACGCCACAUUUUUGUCGCUUAUUAAAUCCAGGACCAGGUAUUGGACGAAGAUAUUAAACUGUUUAGAGAAAAAAAAACAACAAAUUACUAUUUACUAUCAUACAACAGCAACAACAAUAAUAAAAAAUAUAUAUCAUCAUUUAAUUAGUACAUCAUACGUUGCCGACAAAUUACAAUUCAGGUAAAAUUUUUUUUUAAUUUUAUUAUUUCUUAAUUUUGUUAGUCGCUACGUUUAGUCUGUCAGUGGUUUUUAUAUUUUCAAUACAAAAUAAGUAUCAAUUGUUAAAUUACAAAAGAAGAAGCUAAAAAAGGGUCGUCUAUUUUUAAGUCUUAGCUGGUGUUAUAAAAACUUAAUACUAUAACUCUGUAAUGUUUUUCUGUUUUAUUAUUAUUAUUAUUAACAAUAUUAUUUUAUAUACGUUUACGUAUUUUUGUUCUUUUGUUGUUCUUAUUUUAAUAUAUUUAUUACAAUUUUACGUGUUAAGGGGUAAAAUAAAAUUGUGAAACAAUGCAAAAAGGGAAGGAAGUAAGAGUUUAUUGAAAUAAGCAUUUAGUUUAGUCUACGUACUUUAUAAAUAUAAAAAAAUAAUAUAUAUUAUUUUUCUAAGUAACCUUUCCCUUUUUUUACUACUGCUACUUAUUGCUACUACUGUUUAGAAAUAAUAAUAAUAACAAUAAAUUUAGCACAGUGGGUUAUUGUUUUGUAAAGGUUAUAUUUGAUAUUUAUUAUUAGAUUUUGUAUCGGUCUAGAAAAUUAACAUAAAGUUGUUAAUUAAAACAAUUCAGUUCUAAUAUUAAAUCAUAGUUAUUUAUUAAAUUGUAUUUUAAGCAAGUUGAAGGAGUGGUUCCAAAUGUCUUACCAUUAGUAUUUUAGUUCCGAAUGCCUUAAGGUUUCCAUUUAUAAAAAACUGUUUUAUAACGAAAAUGUAGAUCAAAUUCUGAAGUUCAGUAAAUAAACAUGAUAUCCCAUAAGUAAUUAGUCUCCAAUUCACGUAAUGUCAAGAAACAAUUCUUUAAAUUAGUUAAGCGUGAGCGGGUUUUAAGCCGGGAUUAAGAUAUAGAGAUUAAUGCGAGAACUUGCUUGCAAAGGCUUAACUACAUGAUUAAGUUUUCCAAAGUUGCUAAAACAAUGCGUUGUUCACAAAAUAUCUAAUCUAAGGUUUCUUUACCGGGGAGAAUACUAUGCUCCUGCUUAGAAGGUUUGGUCCAAUUACUGCUAUUUAAUAAAAUAAGCUUUUUGAGUAUAUUAUGGCUUUAAUUGAACCUAAUCCGGCUGUCUUCGCAGCAGAAUAUCCCGGCAGAGUAAUUUUAGGAUUUUACCUCCGAAAUGACUCGGAGAAUAUUAGUCUCAACAUUGUGGUUUAUUUUAUAUAGUACAAAAAAGUAUAAAUGGGUCAUAUAACAUAAUGAUUACUUAGUGCACAUUAUAUACAUUUUUUGAUAACCUAUAUGACGCGGUGGACUAUCCUACAAAAACCGAAGAAUACCCAAGUUAAUAUCUUCUAUUUCAGUCUAUAAAGAGACGGAAAUCAGGGAUAUCUAAAGGUUACCAUUGGACGAAAUGACGAUUACGACAGAUGUACAUGAUCAGCCACGGCAUUAUCUACAGCACGCAUCAGUUUGUGUAUCGCAUGUGCGAAAGAAACUUUUUUUUCGUAAAAUCCACAGUUUGGGUAACUCUGCAGUCACUUUGGAAGUAGUUAUUUCGAAAGGAUGAGGUAUAUUACAUCAGAUCCGAAAAAACAGACUUAGGCCACAUUAGUUUGAACAGUUCUGGUGAUGUUUGCCAAAUAGACCGUGUGAAGUUUGGGGUAUUGCUAAUAGAUCCGUCAUUAAGAUUCUUAAGAAACUUUGUGCUAUCAUCGGUAUAAAUUUUGUUGCGAGGUUUAUGGAAUUUGCAAAGAGAGAACUUUAAUGAAAAAAAUUACAAAACUCAAGAGCCCCCAAAUCAUAUUGGUUCGGUAUCCGCCGUGAAGUUGCCUGCCAUCGGCGUGGAUUCUAUAUGAUUUUACUUCGUAUUUAGUACGGAAGUCAAUGACAUCGCAAAGAGAUACUUUGCAUGGAAAGCAAAGAAUAUGACAAAGAAAAGUGGCGUUCCCACGACAAUUGGAUCUUCGCUCCUGAACGACCGGAGUCAUACUCGGCCAAAUAUCGUCAACCCAGCGACAGCUGUAUCAACCGAAAGUUUUUUCCCCAGAAAAGAACUAUCGGCCACAGUCGAACUGUUACAACAACAAAGGAAAGUGUCUGAAAAGCUUCAAACCGUUCCUCCGCAUAGUUAGGACAUUAAACACCUCACAUGUAAAGACCCACAGUUUCUACAGUUCCAUAACCCAAAAACGAACUCAAGUUAGGGACAAUCUACUAAUUCUCACAACAUUUGUUGAUGAACCCCUAAUUCCUAACCUAAGUCCACACACUAACGCGGCAUAUAAUAUUCGUAAUCAAAUACCGAUGGCUUUGUAGGUAAUUUUAUCAACUCAAUGAUUAAAAAGUCCUAAAGAUGAUGAGAGAGACGAUGUUUUUUGGAUGAAUUUGGUCUCUUUUAGAUCUGCACUGUUCUUCAUAUAGAAGUUAAAGAUCAUAACUCCCACUGAGACUAUGCGAGAUCCGGACAAGCUAUUGUAUGUUUAUCUGAAACUAAACUUGUUGUAGUGUUAUGUUUCUAAAGAAGCGGUACCGAAUAUAACUGAAAAAUGUGUACAAUAAAAGCAGAAUAACUCAAACUCAACUAGUUCCACAGAAGCCUCUUUCAUGAUCUAAACAGUUUCAAAUAUGUGUUACUAAUGGAUGCAAUGACCCAAUCUAACCUAUUUAUAACAACAUUAAUUAGAUUAAAUAAUUGUUUUUAUUAGACGGCUUUGAUGAGACCUUAUGAAUACAUAUAUCCUGUAUUUCUUUUUAUACACUAACUUAAAACCCUAUCAAAAUAUCUCUUCUAAAUGAGGCUAAAAAAAUUUGUUAAAAAAAAACAAAUUAAAAAUUGACAUAUCUUUUAUUGUUCCUUAAUAAAGAACAUUUCAGUUCGAAAAGAAACCUAUAAGCCCCUUAAUAGAUAUCAUAUCUUAGAACUACUAAAAGUAGUAAUUAUAUUAAAUUAAAAUAUUUUCUAAACAACUAACUAACUAAACCCACUGUGCUAUUAAAAUUUUAUUAACAAACAAACAUACAUAUAAACUUUCCAAUUUAUGUACUAAAUAUUUCUUAAGAACCCCUUAAUAUAAUUCUUAAACAACCAAAACUUAAAAAUGAUGAUAAAUAAAAACUCCACCAAAAAAAUAUAAAA
This is a long non-coding RNA of Lucilia sericata (common green bottle fly), 3540 nucleotides long. RefSeq lists it as uncharacterized. The transcript is spliced from 2 exons. NCBI's taxonomy places the organism in Eukaryota, Metazoa, Arthropoda, Insecta, Diptera, Calliphoridae. The record is from RefSeq and is a predicted model, not a curated record.